RNAcentral lists this ribosomal RNA (253 nucleotides) under uncultured bacterium. RNAcentral describes it as "partial 16S ribosomal RNA". It matches the Rfam family "Bacterial small subunit ribosomal RNA", at positions 524 to 776 of the family's 1533-position model. The record is from RNAcentral.
UACGAACUGUGCAAACGUUAUUCGGAAUCACUGGGCUUAAAGGGCGCGUAGGCGGGUAUUCAAGUCUAUGGUGAAAUCCGGCAGCUCAACUGUCGAAUUGCCGUGGAUACUGGGUAUCUCGAGGGAGGUAGGGGCGUGCGGAACUAAUGGUGGAGCGGUGAAAUGCGUUGAUAUCAUUAGGAACUCCGGUGGCGAAGGCGGCACGCUGGACCUCUUCUGACGCUGAGGCGCGAAAGCCAGGGGAGCAAACGGG